AGGCUCUCUCCUCUCAGUAGCAUGGUCCUACACAGCCAACAGCAUUCUCCUAACUCUGUCCCCAGAUCCCAAACUUUCAGAGUGCUGUCUCUGCUGAUGCUGUGGAAUGUCUGUGAGAGCAAUUUCUAAUCAAGACCCACACAGUGAAAAUCUAUACAAUGGAUUUUGGACUCACGCAACCAUCAAUCUAACUUCAUGAAAACAAAGGUUACCCAAAGCAGGAAAAUGAGAGGAAGAACUAUGAGUGAAGAAAUAAACACGUUGAAGCUGUAAACUUCCAAACCAAAAGCAUGAUUUUGUCUUUCCAACCUGCAGCUUAGUGAAUGGUUUCCUUGCCCCAUUCAGUGAUGAAUCCUUAGCAGAUAUACUGGCUCUCUUGUACCAACUUGGACUACUUGAGAGGAGAAAGAACCUUUGAAAGUAUCUCUUCUGAUGAAGCAAACAAGGAUGGAUCUUCAGGAAACCAGUCUUUUGUGAUGCGAUUCAGGAGAUUCAGCACGAGAGUAAAACUUUGACACUCAAACUUGCAGCCCACUUUGAUCCAGUAAUACGGAAAAGAAUCAGUUUGAAAAUUCAGAGAAAAAAGAUAAGUACUUUUUUUUUGAAUAUCUUUUUUCUACAUUAAGUAUUUUUAAUUGCAUUACAUUAAUCAUUUUUCUGAUAGUAAAUGUUUCUAGGAGUGCUGAUUAUCCAUCAUUCUUCAGUUUGUACUGAAUUCAAUUUAAGAAGUUGUGGAGGCUGUUGGAUUAUUCAAUAUAGUCUGAAAAAUGCUGCUGUUUUAUUCUGAUUCAUGCAAUAUACAAUUGAUCAUCCCUCUAUAAGAAAUGAAUUUUCCAUAAUGCUUUUUUAUUCUCUUUUCAGUGUGCUCAACAUAUUCUUGAGAAAUCUAAUAUUUCAUGGCAAAAUAAUUAUUUACAUCACAGAAAUAUGCAUUUUUCAUUAGCUGUAGAAGAACAAAACAUAUGACAACUAUUAAAAAUAAUAUACUUUUGGCUGGGUGCAGUGGCUCACACCUGUAAUC
Molecule: long non-coding RNA, 1021 nt
Filed under: Homo sapiens (human)
Lineage: Eukaryota; Metazoa; Chordata; Mammalia; Primates; Hominidae
Description: HSALNT0085099
Source: RNAcentral